This is a long non-coding RNA of Malaya genurostris, 842 nucleotides long. RefSeq lists it as uncharacterized. The transcript has 3 exons. The record is from RefSeq and is a predicted model, not a curated record. Lineage: Eukaryota; Metazoa; Arthropoda; Insecta; Diptera; Culicidae.
UCCCAUACAAAUUUUAAACCUCGGGCGCGAAAAUAUAGUAUUACCGAUCGACCUUAAACUUUGCAUAGUUCUUAUGGGACCCAAAAGGAACGCAAAACAGUUUGGUAGAAUGAAUAAAUAAACCUUUUCACAUUUUUUCCAUAAAACCUUUUCGCAUCCAAGUAUGCAUGGAAUUAAUUUUCAUGCAUUACCAAAGUUUUGUACAGCUUAUAUACAUACAGAUUCGAUUUUUCUCUGAAACCUACGGAAUAGUGGUUCAAGUAGUACUUUGAAACAUCAUUUAGAUCAAAUCCAAUUGAUUACUGAUUAAUUUCCGAUCAACAUGACACGAAAAUUACUACAAAUAUAACCCCAUAAAGCGAUUUUCAGCUUAGAAAAUGUUAAAAACUUCAACUCUGCUCCUCAGACAACCAACUGUCACGCCAACUGAAAAAGAAUCCAAAAAAGACUCAAUCCAAAGCCAUCUCGGAUUAUACGGAGCAGAGCAGGAAUCAGUUGGAUUACACGAGUCUGUACGUUCAUUUCGAGCCGGCGGAGCAGCUCCAACUUCCACGUUUUCUGACAAAUCUUGUUUUAAAACGGGGAAACACCAAUAUUCUGGAAUAACGCCAAGCGCAUCCUCGAAUUCCUCGCAACUACAUUCGUUUGAAUUUUCGUGUGUUGAUGCCUUGAUGGGUUGGACAACUCCAAUAUUGUUGUUAGCAGAAACUACCGCUGGCUUAUCUGGAACUAUGAAUUUAAAAAAGUAUGAUCAAGUGUUACAAUUUCUGAUAAUGACAAAUUCUUACCUGCAGAAGUUGUACAUUGCGAUGCCAACGAUGGUUUCCUAUUUACAAUAACAA